RNAcentral lists this ribosomal RNA (110 nucleotides) under Salvator merianae (Argentine black and white tegu). The record is from RNAcentral. Lineage: Eukaryota; Metazoa; Chordata; Lepidosauria; Squamata; Teiidae.
GUGUGUGGGAUUAUCUCUUGUUGAUGUUGUACGAUCUCAGAAGUUAAGCAAAGUUGGGUCUGAUUAGCAUUUGAUGGGAGACCACCUGGUAAUACCAGGUCCUAUAGGUU